CCUACGGGUGGCUGCAGUGGGGAAUAUUGCACAAUGGGCGCAAGCCUGAUGCAGCCAUGCCGCGUGUGUGAAGAAGGCCUUCGGGUUGUAAAGCACUUUCAGCGGGGAGGAAGGCGGUGAGGUUAAUAACCUCAUCGAUUGACGUUACCCGCAGAAGAAGCACCGGCUAACUCCGUGCCAGCAGCCGCGGUAAUACGGAGGGUGCAAGCGUUAAUCGGAAUUACUGGGCGUAAAGCGCACGCAGGCGGUCUGUCAAGUCGGAUGUGAAAUCCCCGGGCUCAACCUGGGAACUGCAUUCGAAACUGGCAGGCUAGAGUCUUGUAGGGGGGGGUAGAAUUCCAGGUGUAGCGGUGAAAUGCGUAGAGAUCUGGAGGAAUACCGGUGGCGAAGGCGGCCCCCUGGACAAAGACUGACGCUCAGGUGCGAAAGCGUGGGGAGCAAACAGGAUUAGAUACCCGUGUAGUC
This 465-nucleotide ribosomal RNA is filed under the name uncultured Klebsiella sp. RNAcentral's name for it is "bacterial SSU rRNA". It matches the Rfam family "Bacterial small subunit ribosomal RNA", at positions 338 to 795 of the family's 1533-position model. Lineage: Bacteria; Pseudomonadati; Pseudomonadota; Gammaproteobacteria; Enterobacterales; Enterobacteriaceae. The record is from RNAcentral.